Molecule: long non-coding RNA, 439 nt
Filed under: Rattus norvegicus (Norway rat)
Lineage: Eukaryota; Metazoa; Chordata; Mammalia; Rodentia; Muridae
Description: long non-coding RNA NONRATT010280
Source: RNAcentral
UGAGGACUUUGAUUGUACAUUGUUUUUUGCUUUUGGUUUUUUAAAGAGUCACUCCAAGUAUCCACGGCAUAGAUGGUUACAGGAAGUCCCCCACCCUCCCAAAAGCCACCCCCACUCCUAAGGGGAAGAUGGCUGCAUCCAUGCCCUGAGUCCACACCGGGGAAGGUGACAGCAUUGCUUCUGUGUAAAUUAUGUACUGCAAACAUUUUUUUAAAUCUUCCGCCUUAAUACUUCAUUUUUGUUUUUAAUUUCUGAAUGGUCAGCCAUUGUGGCCUCCCCCUAUUUUUGUCCCACCAACUUGAUGUAUGAAGGCUUUGGUCUCCCUGGGAGUGGUUUGAGGUGUUGAGGCAGCCAGGACUGGCCUGUACACUGAUGUGAGACUGUUUUAAUAAAAGUGCACAGCUUACAAACAAACAAACAAACAAACAAACAAACAAAA